CCUACGGGAGGCAGCAGUGAGGAAUAUUGGGCAAUGGGGGCAACCCUGACCCAGCCAUGCCGCGUGAGUGAAGAAGGUCUUCGGAUUGUAAAGCUCUUUCGGACGUGACGAUGAUGACGGUAGCUAAGGAGCAAGCCACGGCUAACUACGUGCCAGCAGCCGCGGUAAUACGUAGGUGGCAAGCGUUGUCCGGAAUUACUGGGUGUAAAGGGAGCGCAGGCGGGAAGCCAAGUCAGCUGUGAAAACUACGGGCUUAACUUGUAGACUGCAGUUGAAACUGGUUUUCUUGAGUGAAGUAGAGGUUGGCGGAAUUCCGAGUGUAGCGGUGAAAUGCGUAGAUAUUCGGAGGAACACCGGUGGCGAAGGCGGCCAACUGGGCUUUAACUGACGCUGAGGCUCGAAAGUGUGGGGAGCAAACAGGAUUAGAUACCCCUGUAGUC
RNAcentral lists this ribosomal RNA (440 nucleotides) under uncultured bacterium. Its description in RNAcentral is "partial 16S ribosomal RNA". It matches the Rfam family "Bacterial small subunit ribosomal RNA", at positions 338 to 795 of the family's 1533-position model. The record is from RNAcentral.